RNAcentral lists this ribosomal RNA (240 nucleotides) under uncultured Comamonas sp. RNAcentral's name for it is "partial 16S ribosomal RNA". It matches the Rfam family "Bacterial small subunit ribosomal RNA", at positions 1143 to 1382 of the family's 1533-position model. The record is from RNAcentral. Lineage: Bacteria; Pseudomonadati; Pseudomonadota; Betaproteobacteria; Burkholderiales; Comamonadaceae.
GCGAGACUGCCGGUGACAAACCGGAGGAAGGUGGGGAUGACGUCAAGUCCUCAUGGCCCUUAUAGGUGGGGCUACACACGUCAUACAAUGGCUGGUACAAAGGGUUGCCAACCCGCGAGGGGGAGCUAAUCCCACAAAGCCGAUCGUAGUCCGGAUCGCAGUCUGCAACUCGACUGCGUGAAGUCGGAAUCGCUAGUAAUCGUGGAUCAGCAUGUCACGGUGAAUACGUUCCCGGGUCUU